This is a non-coding RNA of Pelobates cultripes (western spadefoot toad), 362 nucleotides long. The record is from the annotation of a GenBank genome assembly. Lineage: Eukaryota; Metazoa; Chordata; Amphibia; Anura; Pelobatidae.
CACACACACACACACACACACAGACUGCUGAGUCCAUACACACACAGACUGCUGAGUCCAUACACACACACAGACUGCUGAGUCCAUACACACACACACACACACACACACAGACUGCUGAGUCCAUACAGUGUGUGUGUAUGGGGAUAGUGUAUGUGUGUAGAGUGUAUGUGUGUAGAGUGUAUGUGUAUGGGGGGGCAGAGUGUGUGUAUGGGGGGCAGUGUGUGGGGCAAUGUGUGUGUAUGGGGCAGUAUGUAUGUAUGUAUGGGGGCAGUAUGGGGGCAAAGUGAGUGUGUAUGGGGCAGUGUGUGUCAAUGGAGAGCAGUAUGGGGGCAAUGUGUGUCUAUGAGGAGCAGUAUGGG